UGUCUGGCCACAUCUUGACUAGGUAUUGUCUACUCUGAAGACCUUUAAUGGCUUCCCUCUUUCAUCUCCUGAGUAUGUAACUUGCAAUGGGCAGCUAUCCAGUGACUUGUUCUGAGUAAGUGUGUUCAUUAAUGUUUAUUUAGCUCUGAAGCAAGAGUGAUAUACUCCAGGACUUAGAAUAGUGCCUAAAGUGCUGCAGCCAAAGACAGAGCGGAACUAUGAAAAGUGGGCUUGGAGAUGGCAGGAGAGCUUGUCAUUGAGCCUGGCAAUUUAGCAAACUGAUGCUGAGGAUGAUUGAGGUGGGUCUACCUCAUCUCUGAAAAUUCUGGAAGGAAUGGAGGAGUCUCAACAUGUGUUUCUGACACAAGAUCCGUGGUUUGUACUCAAAGCCCAGAAUCCCCAAGUGCCUGCUUUUGAUGAUGUCUACAGAAAAUGCUGGCUGAGCUGAACACAUUUGCCCAAUUCCAGGUGUGCACAGAAAACCGAGAAUAUUCAAAAUUCCAAAUUUUUUUCUUAGGAGCAAGAAGAAAAUGUGGCCCUAAAGGGGGUUAGUUGAGGGGUAGGGGGUAGUGAGGAUCUUGAUUUGGAUCUCUUUUUAUUUAAAUGUGAAUUUCAACUUUUGACAAUCAAAGAAAAGACUUUUGUUGAAAUAGCUUUACUGUUUCUCAAGUGUUUUGGAGAAAAAAAUCAACCCUGCAAUCACUUUUUGGAAUUGUCUUGAUUUUUCGGCAGUUCAAGCUAUAUCGAAUAUAGUUCUGUGUAGAGAAUGUCACUGUAGUUUUGAGUGUAUACAUGUGUGGGUGCUGAUAAUUGUGUAUUUUCUUUGGGGGUGGAAAAGGAAAACAAUUCAAGCUGAGAAAAGUAUUCUCAAAGAUGCAUUUUUAUAAAUUUUAUUAAACAAUUUUGUUAAACCAUU
This 916-nucleotide long non-coding RNA is filed under the name Homo sapiens (human). Its description in RNAcentral is "non-protein coding lnc-TANGO6-2:1". The record is from RNAcentral. Lineage: Eukaryota; Metazoa; Chordata; Mammalia; Primates; Hominidae.